RNAcentral lists this ribosomal RNA (625 nucleotides) under uncultured bacterium. RNAcentral describes it as "bacterial SSU rRNA". It matches the Rfam family "Bacterial small subunit ribosomal RNA", at positions 186 to 810 of the family's 1533-position model. The record is from RNAcentral.
GGCAUCCCGGGGGGAGGAAAGGAGCGAUCCGGACAGGGAUGGGCAUGCGGCGCAUUAGCUGGUCGGCGGGGUAACGGCCCACCGAGGCGACGAUGCGUAGGGGUUCUGAGAGGAAGGCCCCCCACACUGGUACUGAGACACGGACCAGACUCCUACGGGAGGCAGCAGUGAGGAAUAUUGGUCAAUGGGCGGGAGCCUGAACCAGCCAAGCCGCGUGAGGGAAGAAGGUACAGCGUAUCGUAAACCUCUUUUGUCAGGGAACAAAGGCGGGGACUAGUCCCCGGAUGAGGGUACCUGAAGAAAAAGCAUCGGCUAACUCCGUGCCAGCAGCCGCGGUAAUACGGAGGAUGCGAGCGUUAUCCGGAUUUAUUGGGUUUAAAGGGUGCGCAGGCGGCCUGUUAAGUCAGCGGUAAAAGCCCGGGGCUCAACCCCGGCGAGCCGUUGAAACUGGCGGGCUGGAGUUGGAGAGAAGUACGCGGAAUGCGCGGUGUAGCGGUGAAAUGCUUAGAUAUCGCGCAGAACCCCGAUUGCGAAGGCAGCGUACCGGCUCCACACUGACGCUGAGGCACGAAAGCGUGGGUAUCGAACAGGAUUAGAUACCCUGGUAGUCCACGCAGUAAACGAU